UACAGAGGGUGCAAGCGUUAAUCGGACUUACUGGGCGUAAAGGGCGCGUAGGCGGAUGAAUAAGUGAGAUGUGAAAUACCUGGGCUUAACCGAGGGGUUGCAUUUGAUACUGUUCAUCUAGAGUAUGAUAGAGGGAAGUGGAAUUUCUAGUGUAGCGGUGAAAUGCGUAGAUAUUAGAAAGAACACCAGUGGCGAAGGCGGCUUCCUGGAUUAAUACUGACGCUGAGGCGCGAAAGCAUGGGUAGCGAACAGG
RNAcentral lists this ribosomal RNA (253 nucleotides) under uncultured bacterium. RNAcentral describes it as "partial 16S ribosomal RNA". It matches the Rfam family "Bacterial small subunit ribosomal RNA", at positions 524 to 776 of the family's 1533-position model. The record is from RNAcentral.